RNAcentral lists this ribosomal RNA (135 nucleotides) under uncultured bacterium. RNAcentral's name for it is "partial 16S rRNA". It matches the Rfam family "Bacterial small subunit ribosomal RNA", at positions 355 to 507 of the family's 1533-position model. The record is from RNAcentral.
UGGGGAAUCUUGCGCAAUGGGCGAAAGCCUGACGCAGCCAUGCCGCGUGUAUGAUGAAGGUCUUAGGAUUGUAAAAUACUUUCACCGGCGAAGAUAAUGACUGUAGCCGGAGAAGAAGCCCCGGCUAACUUCGUG